RNAcentral lists this ribosomal RNA (345 nucleotides) under Enterococcus faecalis. RNAcentral describes it as "partial 23S ribosomal RNA". It matches the Rfam family "Bacterial large subunit ribosomal RNA", at positions 187 to 581 of the family's 2925-position model. The record is from RNAcentral. Lineage: Bacteria; Bacillati; Bacillota; Bacilli; Lactobacillales; Enterococcaceae.
AGGGAACUGAAACAUCUAAGUACCUGGAGGAAAGGACAUCAAUCGAGACUCCGUUAGUAGUGGCGAGCGAACGCGGACCAGGCCAGUGAUACAUCAAAGACAAUCGGAACCAGUCAGGAAAGCUGGGCCUCAGAGGGUGAUAGCCCCGUACGAGUAAUGCGAUGAUGUAUCCACGAGUAAGGCGGGACACGUGUAAUCCUGUCUGAACACGGGGGGACCACCCUCCAAGCCUAAGUACUCCUCAGCGACCGAUAGUGAACCAGUACCGUGAGGGAAAGGUGAAAAGCACCCCGACGAGGGGAGUGAAAUAGACCUGAAACCGGACACCUACAAACAGAUGGAGCC